Molecule: transfer RNA, 88 nt
Filed under: Dactylosporangium sucinum
Lineage: Bacteria; Bacillati; Actinomycetota; Actinomycetes; Micromonosporales; Micromonosporaceae
Description: tRNA-Arg
Source: RNAcentral
UUGGGGGGUACUGUGGCGUUCACGUUGAGUCCUCCUACGACUCGGCGGGUAAACGGGUUCGGGGGGAGUGCCAUCCCCCCGCUCCUGU